AGCACGGUGGCCUCGCCGGUGCGGAAGCGGGCGGCUUCGGCGCGCCGCACUUCCGGGGAGAGGGCGCCGUAGAUCGUCGCCACGCUGUGUCC
Molecule: transfer RNA, 92 nt
Filed under: Methylobacterium marchantiae
Lineage: Bacteria; Pseudomonadati; Pseudomonadota; Alphaproteobacteria; Hyphomicrobiales; Methylobacteriaceae
Description: tRNA-Arg
Source: RNAcentral